AGAGAUAUAAAUGGUUUUUGGGUUCAGAGUCAAUGUCAUUAGUCUUUUCAUUGUGUUUAUUCUAAAAUACCAUUGACAUUUUUUUUCAACUCAGUUACUUAAUUCCUUUUGUUUUUGAUUUUGUAUCCAACUGAGUAUUUUCAUUUGGUGAGUGUUUUUCUUUGUUCUAUCAGAUUCUCUCUUUUCUUUUAUCUUUUUUUUUAUCAUCAUUUUUUUU
Molecule: long non-coding RNA, 217 nt
Filed under: Lathyrus oleraceus (garden pea)
Lineage: Eukaryota; Viridiplantae; Streptophyta; Magnoliopsida; Fabales; Fabaceae
Description: Pisum sativum (pea) long non-coding RNA (PSAT_LNC010660)
Source: RNAcentral